GCCCCGUUCGUCUAGCGGCCCAGGACCCCGCCCUUUCACGGCGGUAGCGCCGGUUCGAAUCCGGUACGGGGUA
Molecule: transfer RNA, 73 nt
Filed under: Nocardioides sp.
Lineage: Bacteria; Bacillati; Actinomycetota; Actinomycetes; Propionibacteriales; Nocardioidaceae
Also listed under: 4 other names
Description: tRNA-Glu
Rfam family: tRNA
About the family: Transfer RNA (tRNA) molecules are approximately 80 nucleotides in length. Their secondary structure includes four short double-helical elements and three loops (D, anti-codon, and T loops).
Source: RNAcentral